Long non-coding RNA from Zophobas morio, 440 nucleotides. RefSeq lists it as uncharacterized. The transcript has 3 exons. Lineage: Eukaryota; Metazoa; Arthropoda; Insecta; Coleoptera; Tenebrionidae. The record is from RefSeq and is a predicted model, not a curated record.
UUAACUGUAAACAUUAAGAAUUCAUUUUUGAAUGCUUUGAAAACAGUGGAUUGGAUGGAUGAGAGCGCUAAAAUGUAUGCUGCCAUUAAAGCGAAGAAAAUGACUUUUUGUGUAGGUUACCCCGAAGAACUUCUAAAUGACACCUAUGUGAAUCUUUAUUAUCAAUGGUUGCACCUGGAUGAUAACGAAUAUUUUUGGAAGGUCAAUGUUAAUAUGUCAAAAUUUUUUCGGAUGAAGUUAGAUGAAAGGGUGGAUGAUUAUUUUGAAGAGCACGCAAAUACUAGGGGAUUAAAAGCGCAUUAUAAGGGAAAAGAAAACACUAUUGAAAUGCCUGCUGGUGUGCUUCGGGAUAAGCUCUUCGAUCGUGAUAGACCUCAAUACUUGAAUUAUGGGACAAUAGGAAAAAUAAUUGUCCAUGAAUUCAUUCAUGGGUUUGAUGA